UUGACUCUACUGGAAGGGAGUGAAUUUUCUACCAAAAAAAGUCGUUAAAAGCCUGGCAAGGUUGAUCUGCCUCACAGAGAUAGCUCCGACUAUGAAAUGUCACCACCCCAGCAUCAGGUUCCAUGCGGUAGAAGUUCAAUGCUGGGAAAUCUGCCAUUCGUGACAACUCGGAUGAAGCCGGAGGGUAUUAUGCUCAGUGAAUUACACGGGACACAGAAAGACAAAUGCUGAAUGUUAUCACCUAUAUGUGCAUCACCCAGCUCAAGGACUGAACAUCUCCAGCCCUCACCCAGAAGGCUCCCUUGGGCUCUUUCUAAUUGGUAACCACCUUCCUCCCCACCUUUUAGGGAUUUUCAUUGCUAAUGUGCAAUGACAAAUGUCACUGCUGCAGAUGGGGAGGGAUACUAUGCAGUGGCCUCAGCCUGCAGAAGUAUAAACAACGAGAACUGCAGCGAUCGGCUCAGAAAAGCGUGUUGCAUGCACAUUGCUGCACAAAUCACCCAGUAGGUACCAAGAAGGCUGCUGUAGAGACCCUGCCUGAGAAGAGCUUGAAAAUUAGCUGGUAAAAAAGACAAACAUAUGGAAAAUGAAAUAAUACACGAUUUCUUAACAACCAUAAUCUAUGUGAAUAAAGCUGUCUGUGAGUUUAUAAAUUCUUCACAAAGGAUCUUGUCCAGCAACCUGAGGUCAUGGUGCAGGAGAGAUGUUCCCUUCAUUUUGAAGUAGGUGAGACUCAAAGGGAAGAAGUGGCUUCCAAGUCCCAUCAGGUGACUGCGUGGCAGAGCCAGGGGCCUGGACACGCACCCCCAUGGCAGCCUCCCUCUCGUGCUGAAUCACACUUACAGAGAGAUGGGGUCUGUCACGGCUUCCCCAGUGCUGGCUCAGAAUGGAGAAGUCAGGACAGGAUGCACAGGGCUGAGCUGAAGCUGAGUGCAAGGGUGGGUUGGAUUUGGUGGCGGGGUAAGGAGAAGGCCCCAGGAAGCCAGAGUCACGUGAGUAACACCUUUGGAACAGGUGAGUGCAAGGUUUCGGGGAGAGCAUGCAGGAGAUCCAGCCAGGUUUGGAUUUCCUAAUCCACAGGGCCUGGGUGGGAAGGAGAAGACGGUGAGUCUGUAGAGGAGGCUGGAGUCAGGACAGGGGACCAGCCAAGCCGGGAGGGUGCAGGUGCCUGGGACCAGGGCGGCAGCGGUGGAAGCAGGGAGACACAGUGAGGCUCUGAUCCUACGUGCCUGUUUGUCUUUUCAAUGUACUCCUUUUUGCUUCUGUUUGUUGUUUAGUUUAGUUUUCAACAGAUUGAAAGCCAUAUGCACUGUACUAGGCUAAAGGGACAAAGACAAAUAGGCCCUCGGUGUGAGGCUAGGAGUUGGGCUGUGUGUGCUGCUUGCUUGGCCGUGAGGUGUCAGAAGCUGCUCUCUUUGGUGUCCCUGCUUUUGUCUCCCCCGUGGUCUUGGGAUUCCCCAGAGACUUAUUCUUAAAGAAGGUCUGAGUGUGCUGUUCUUUCAGUGGCGGUCCCUGUCAUUACACAGGAGCCCCGCUGAGGUGGCAGCCAGGUGUGGGGCAGGGGGCAGGGGACGUGUUCUCUGGUCCUCUGGGGAGGGCUCUGCCCUCUCGUGCCCUGUGUCCCUGGACGGCCACUUCCACGGCACUUCUCACUGUGUUUUGUUUUUCCCUUUAGGUGGAACAGGAAGGCUACAGGGUCCAAGCUGGGUUUUUCUCUUCCCCAGCCAAAUGAUUGCACCUCGGAAGCCAUCAACAUCUGAUCUACAUAUUCACAAUCUGCUCGCCGGUGCAGUCUGAGACUCCUUACGAUAUAUCAGGUUGGACAGACAGAGUUUAUUUGCCGACGCCGGAUGCUGCUGAGCAUCGUAACUCAGCCCUGCGAAGGACGGGGCACCUGCAGAGCUGUCAGGAGGCUGCGCGGAGCCGGUGACACUCAUCCUGCUUGCUGGGCAGGGCAGAAUGGGGGGAACAGCACUCAGAGAUAUUUACGCAUAACACUCAGUAAUAGUAGUAGUAACAACACAGUCAGCACUAUUCUCUGAGCCCUGAUGUGUGUCCAGCCCUGCACUAAGGGCUUUAGAUGUGGUUCUCUCAUUUCAUCCGCCCAAAACCCCCGGGAGGCUGCCCGAUUAUCGCACCCAUUGCACGGAUGCAGAAAUCAGCAUUUGGGUGGCUUGAGUAUCUUGUCCAAGGCCCCACAGUGCAGAGGUUCUAUUGCUGGGAUUCUUAGUUAGAACAGCAUUUGCUCAUAGAGCUAAAUCCCUAUACCCAGAAUCCCUAAAGGGCUGGGCAGAUACACCAAUGUGUCCAUACUCUUCGGUGGAAUGGGGGUAUUCUUUUUUAUUCACAAUCUUUAUUGUGAGAACUUGCAAACUUUUAAAAAGUUAAGAGAAAAGUGCAAUGACCACCCAUAUAUCCUUCCCCUAGAUUUGUCAUUUGUUUAUGUUUUGCUUCUUUUUGUAUGUGUGACUUUUUUUGCCAUACUAUUUUGGAAUAAGGCGCACACACCAGGAAACUUCACUUCUAAACCCUCAGCAGGCACCUCAUCCAGUGGAGGUCCGAAUUUGUCUGAAGCGGAAACUGAACCUAAGAUGAGCAUCAGGAAUCCCACUGCUUUUGGAAAUUUUUCAGUCUCCUGAGAUGGCACUUCAGGUUCUCUCAAGAUCUGGCCCCAAUAAUGGCAUCACCUCCCCUCCCCUACCACGCUUUGCUGCACCCACCCGACUAACCAUUUCCUGAAGCCACAGGCAGCUCACGCUGUGGGGCCUCCGCUCAUCCAUUCCCUGCUGCAACUCUGUAAAUCCUGCUCGUCCCUAAAGGCCUGGUUGACGCCGCCCCUCCUUGGAGCCUCCCCCAAUGUCCACGUCUGUGGGGGCAGCUUUGUCUCAUAAUGUUCUGCUUUGCUUUAGGGGUAGCUGUUUCCCUGUCUGCAUGCUCCUUAAGGGCAGAGGGUCAUCCUUGAACCCUCCCUAACAUGUGACAUAGCAGUUUGCAUAUAGUAGGUGCUUAAUAAACACUCAUUGAAUUGGAUGGA
Long non-coding RNA from Lemur catta (Ring-tailed lemur), 3034 nucleotides. RefSeq lists it as uncharacterized. Lineage: Eukaryota; Metazoa; Chordata; Mammalia; Primates; Lemuridae. The record is from RefSeq and is a predicted model, not a curated record. The transcript is spliced from 4 exons.